UAUCUAUCUAUCUAUCUAUCUAUCUAUCUAUCUAUCUAUCUUGCAAAGCUUUGCCUGGCUCAGGAUAUUGAUCGGAAUAAUGAAGGAACUAUCCCUUAGCCAUUCUUUGAAUAAAACACUGAUUGCAUUUGAGAAGGGAUGAUUUUGAUGCAAAAUCAUGUUAGAAAAUUAUAUAGAAUCCAAUAUGUUGCACUUACAUGUUCCUGAUCUCUUUCGUUGACUUAAUUUUAAGAGCCGUUGAAUUUCCUGACUGAUAUAUUUUUAUCAUAGUUUGAUUCCUUCUUAUUUAGGCAGCUUUAGUCCGUGUCAUUUGUCUAUUCCUUUCCACUUGCUCUGUGAAGAUUUAAGGAAAAAAACCCAAACAAGCAUGAGGAAGAAAAGUGUCACUGGCAUGGCCUUCCUAGUUUUACUGAGAGCAGUAGGUAUUAUUGUUACCAAAGGGAAAGGACGCUCAUCUACAAAUCCUAUGAGUCUCAAGGAGGAACCUGUGGUAGAGUGAGCAUGUGUCUUCCUUUGGAGACAGACAUGCCCUGCCUCUGCUGCCCUGCCACAGGAGCAGCUCACACGGUCUGUGUGCAAAAAGCACACACAGAUCCCUCCUUUGGUGCCAGGGAGGGCUGUUCUGAGCCUAAAAUGAAAUAAAUGAAAUAAAUGAAAUAAAAUCGGUUCAAGAGAUAUGAAGGGCAAAACUGGAAGAAUUAGCUCCAUUGAAGAAUUUUAAAUGAGCCCUGGGGCAUUGUCACUUUUGUUUGCACAGAAUGAGAGGUUGCUGUUGUCUGGAGAGCAGCGCUGUUCACCUCGGAAGGGUCUGGUCUCGGGAUGCAGGAGAUGAAAGGUCUGUGGUUCGCUUGGCACUUCAGACUCUUGCUUACUGCCUCUGAUUUUCUGGCACCUGAAGGUACAGAACUUCACUGAUGUCAGGGAUACCACUGCUUGAACUUUGCUGUUUGCCUGGAUAAGGGGUGCCACGCUCUGGACACCAAGGAAAGUCCCCUGGAAAACAAGAAAGCCUGUUUAACUGAAGCCUUUCCUGUUAAAAAUAUGCUUUCUGAUUGAUGUUUGUCAGUGGGAAGAAAGCUUCCUUUGAACACUCUUAUCCUGCUCUGAUCCUGCAGAUGUCUCUUAAUAUACUCCUGGACUAUGGAGAGUCAUCCUGAAACAGCUGUUUCCCAUUGCAGUGCUGCAACUGGCACUUUGGAAAAUACGGAUACUUCAUGGUUGUUCUGUUGCCAUCCAGGACUUGUCUCAGGAACAAUACAGUAAAGAUGUUUUUCAAGGAAGGCUGCUCCAUAAAGUAUGCUAGUAUUUCAGCAGAAGUCUCCUUUUUCUUUUGGUUGUGUAUGAUGCCGGGGAGCAUAACACAUUGUCUUAGCGUACUUUUUAUUUUGUUAGCGUAUAGCUUGAAUUGGUUAUGGCCAGCUGUGUGCCUGAGUCUUGGAUAUUUGUGCACAAUGGCUGUGACUGACAGCCAGGAGUCCUCUGUAUUUUCCAGUGUUGAACAGCUGUGAUAAAUAAAUGACACAAGAUAGUCUAAAAAAUAAUAUUGUUAUUGUGUUUGAAAUGCCUACAUUCUGCUUGCCUAAAUAGGGUGAUGUACUAACAGGACUGCAUCAAUUCAUACCAAUUCAUUAUUCAGAGAGGGAUGUAAAAAAAUGAAUUAAGCAUUCAUUUACAUUUUAAAAUUAGUUUUCCUGGUUGUGUUUGAUAAAAACGAGGUUCUUUAACUUUUCCUGUAAUGAACAUUCAUUGCUGAAUGUCAGCAUUUGUGUUUCUGUUAUAUUUGGCUUCUGUAUGUCUUAGUGUGAGCUUGUGAACAAAAAAUACAUCAAGCAGAAUUUAGGUUUACUGAAGAAUGUGAAGCUUAAAUAUGUUAUCAGUAACUGGCUCCACAGAAGGAAUUUGAAGUUUUAAGAGUUUGAUUGAUUGAGUCAGGGAUCAAAACUAGUUACAUUUGUGCUUUUAAUCAAAGGUUGAUGCGACUACCUAAAGUUGAGAUUUUUAAACAGGCAGCCAUAUGUAAAUUUAAUACUCUAAAUGUUUCAAUGAGGAGAUUUUUGAAAAAAACCCAACAAACCCCCAAAUAUUUAAAGAAAUUGAUGAGUAAGAAAUUUCUAAGAAAGAAAAGGCAGCACUCAGAUACAUUGUUAAAUAUUACCAUAUCUUAAAAUAUUGGUGACAUGUCAUCCUUUAACAGUGAAUUCAGGGAAAAAACAUGCGUAGAAGCUCUCUUCAUAUCAUAAUACUUCUACCUUUUUAUUUCUCUAGUUUCUUGUGCAAUUUCUGGCCAUGGUUAAGAUUCUGCUGCCCAAUUAUUAUUAGUAAUGGUUUCUAAAAAUAUGGCACAUAUAAGCAAGUAUUUAGGUGAACUUACUAUUACUUUAUUACUUCCAUUAGCUAUGGUGGGGAUUUUUUACCCUUUAAAUUAUCAGGAAGAAGGCAAUUUAUGAUGUCUGAUUUAUGAAACAGCAAAAUGGUGUUAAUUCUUGUUUUCAGCAAAAGUGACUUUUAGUAAGGUCCAAAGGAACAUGAAUAUUGCAUAGCAUACUUUUCAAAAAUUACUUUAAAAAUACACUUUAAGUCCCCAAAUCUGUUAGGAAGUUUUUAAAGUUCUACUGAUUGUAAGUAAUUUCUCAGCUGAUAGAAUCAAAGAGGGUUUGAAGUAGUUCAACCCUGAAGGUAUUUAUCUAAAUUAUGGUAUUGAAAAAUGUCAUAGAUGGUUCAAUCUAAUCAAAGGUACAUUUUAACGCACAGUCUUGUCUGCAGCAUUGACCAGCACUGGCUGCUUAUGAAGGGGACAGAAGAUUGUGCAUUGAAAUAUGGAGCCUGAGAGCCAGACAGGGAUUGCUGAAUCAUGAGAUAUUUUCUCAUGCAAAGGAAUGUCAUUCUCCGUUUAAUCUUUAUUAAAAUAUGU
Zonotrichia albicollis (white-throated sparrow) is the source of this 2911-nucleotide non-coding RNA. The record is from RefSeq and is a predicted model, not a curated record. NCBI's taxonomy places the organism in Eukaryota, Metazoa, Chordata, Aves, Passeriformes, Passerellidae.